GUAGCCGAGUGCGCGCGCCGCGGCGUGGCCGUCGCCAACGCCGGGAAGGUCUACUCCACCGACGUGGCGGACCACGCCGUGGGCCUGCUGCUCGACGUGCAGCGGCGCGUGUCGGCGGCGGAGCGGUACGUCCGGCGCGGGUCCUGGCCGGCCCAGGGCGACUACCGGCCACUCGGCUCCAAGCUCGGCGGCAAGCGCGUCGGCAUCAUCGGCCUGGGCAACAUCGGCUCGCUCGUCGCGAGGAGGCUCGAAGCCUUCGGCUGCGUCAUCCUGUACAACUCGAGGAGGCGCAAGGAGGAGGGCUCGGCCCGCCGCUACACCUACUUCCCGGACGUCCGGGGCCUCGCCGCCGCGUCCGACGUGCUCGUCGUUGCCUGCGCGCUGAACGAGGAGACGAGGCACGUCGUGGGCAGGGAGGUGCUGGAGGCCCUGGGGAAGGACGGCGUGCUCAUCAACGUCGGCCGAGGAGCGAACGUCGACGAGGCGGCGCUGGUGGCGGCGCUCAAGGAGGGGAGGAUCGCCGGUGCCGGCCUCGACGUCUUCGAGGACGAGCCGAAGGUGCCGGCGGAGCUCCUGCCCAUGGACAAUGUGGUGCUGACCCCUCACGUGGCGGUUCUGACGCAGGAGUCCAGGUCGGACCUGCGCGCGCAGACCAUCGGCAACCUCCAGGCCUUCUUCUCCGGCCAGCCAUUGCUCACUCCCGUGCCCUGCCAUCGUGCCUAG
RNAcentral lists this ribosomal RNA (723 nucleotides) under Triticum aestivum (bread wheat). RNAcentral describes it as "partial small subunit ribosomal RNA". The record is from RNAcentral. Lineage: Eukaryota; Viridiplantae; Streptophyta; Magnoliopsida; Poales; Poaceae.